Molecule: RNase P RNA, 467 nt
Filed under: Gammaproteobacteria bacterium
Lineage: Bacteria; Pseudomonadati; Pseudomonadota; Gammaproteobacteria
Description: RNase P RNA component class A
Rfam family: Bacterial RNase P class A
About the family: Ribonuclease P (RNase P) is a ubiquitous endoribonuclease, found in archaea, bacteria and eukarya as well as chloroplasts and mitochondria. Its best characterised activity is the generation of mature 5'-ends of tRNAs by cleaving the 5'-leader elements of precursor-tRNAs.
Source: RNAcentral
GGAGUUGGUUGGGCAGUCGCUGUAUUGUUAACACAAUAUAGAGGAAAGUCCGGGCUUCAUAGGGCAGGGUGCCAGGUAACGCCUGGGAGGCGUGAGCCUACGGAAAGUGCCACAGAAAAUAUACCGCUUUUUUCAGUGAACAAUGUGCCGUUAUCAGUGAAUUGUUUGACUUAGGUUUGCUGGUAGCGCGUUACGGGUAACUGGGCGAAGUAAGGGUGAAAAGGUGUCGGUAAGAGCGCACCGCGUUGGUGGUAACAUCAAUGGCAGGGUAAACCCCACCUGAAGCAAGACCAAAUAAUGGAAUUGUAUUUAAUUAUACAGAUGUGGUCCGCAUCGUUCCAGGGUAGGUCGCAAGAGGUGCUUGGUGACAAGCAUCCCAGAUGAAUGGCUGCUACAUGGGUUCGCCUAUUCCUAUACGGGAGAAGUGGGCUCGUGAACAGAACCCGGCUUAUAGACUAACUCCUUUU